Molecule: ribosomal RNA, 544 nt
Filed under: Amphithrax armatus
Lineage: Eukaryota; Metazoa; Arthropoda; Malacostraca; Decapoda; Mithracidae
Description: partial 16S ribosomal RNA
Rfam family: Bacterial large subunit ribosomal RNA
Source: RNAcentral
GUCUAUGUUAAGAAAUACAUAGUCUAACCUGCUCACUGAGUUGAGAGACUUUAAGAGCCGCGGUAUUUUGACCGUGCAAAGGUAGCAUAAUCAUUAGUUUUUUAAUUGGAAACUUGUAUGAAUGGUUGGACAAAAGAAAUUCUGUCUCUAUUAUUAAAAUUUGAAUUUAACUUUUAAGUGAAAAGGCUUAAAUCUUUCAAGGGGACGAUAAGACCCUAUAAAGCUUUAUAAAUAGCUAGAUAUUUUUUAAAUUAUAAAAUAAAAGGAAAUUCUGGAAGUUUAUUAUGUUGGGGCGACACAGAUAUAAUUUUAAAUAACUAUCAGGGAAAAAACCAAUAAUAUUUGAAUUUUAUGAUCCUAACUAAAGAUUAUAAGACCAAGUUACUUUAGGGAUAACAGCGUUAUUCUUUUUGAGAGUUCGUAUCGAAAAAAGAGUUUGCGACCUCGAUGUUGAAUUAAAAAAUCUCUAUAGUGCAGCAGCUAUAGGAAGAAGGUCUGUUCGACCUUUAAAUUUUUACAUGAUUUGAGUUCAAACCGGUGUAAG